RNAcentral lists this ribosomal RNA (497 nucleotides) under uncultured bacterium. RNAcentral's name for it is "partial 16S ribosomal RNA". It matches the Rfam family "Bacterial small subunit ribosomal RNA", at positions 28 to 507 of the family's 1533-position model. The record is from RNAcentral.
GAUGAACGCUGGCGGCGUGCCUAAUACAUGCAAGUCGAGCGAACAGACGAGGAGCUUGCUCCUUCGACGUUAGCGGCGGACGGGUGAGUAACACGUAGGUCACCUACCUAUAAGACUGGGAUCACUUCGGGAAACCGGAGCAAACACCGUAUAAUAUUUCGCACCGCAUGGUUCGAUAGUGAAAGAUGGCUUUGCUGUAUCUUAUAGCUGGUCCUGCGCCGUAUUAGCUAGUCGUUAAGGUCACGGCUUACCACGGCAACGAUACGUAGACGAACUGAUAGGGGGGUCGGCCGCACGGGAGGUGAGACACGCACCAGACGCCUACGGGAGGCACCAGUAUGCAAUGGGCCGCAGUGGUCGAAAGUAUGACGCAGCAACGCCGCGUGUGUGAUGGCGGCCUUCGGAUCGUAAUGCUCGGUUAUGAGGGAUGAACCGCCGUGUAAGUAAACGAAGACGGCGUGACGGUACCGAAUCAGAAAGCAACGGCUAACUACGUG